RNAcentral lists this ribosomal RNA (433 nucleotides) under uncultured bacterium. Its description in RNAcentral is "partial 16S ribosomal RNA". It matches the Rfam family "Bacterial small subunit ribosomal RNA", at positions 29 to 507 of the family's 1533-position model. The record is from RNAcentral.
AGCGAACGCUGGCGGCAGGCCUAACACAUGCAAGUCGAACGGAUCCUUCGGGAUUAGUGGCGGACGGGUGAGUAACACGUGGGAACGUGCCCUUUGGUUCGGAACAACUCAGGGAAACUUGAGCUAAUACCGGAUGUGCCCUUCGGGGGAAAGAUUUAUCGCCAUUGGAGCGGCCCGCGUCUGAUUAGCUAGUUGGUGAGGUAACGGCCCACCAAGGCAACGAUCAGUAGCUGGUCUGAGAGGAUGAUCAGCCACACUGGGACUGAGACACGGCCCAGACUCCUACGGGAGGCAGCAGUGGGGAAUCUUGCGCAAUGGGCGAAAGCCUGACGCAGCCAUGCCGCGUGAAUGAUGAAGGUCUUAGGAUUGUAAAAUUCUUUCAGCGGGGACGAUAAUGACGGUACCCGCAGAAGAAGCUCCGGCUAACUUCGUG